CAGUCGCCGCGGUAAUACGAAGGGGGCUAGCGUUGCUCGGAAUGACUGGGCGUAAAGGGCGCGUAGGCGGAUCGUUAAGUUGGGGGUGAAAGCCCGGGGCUCAACCUCGGAAUUGCCUUCAAUACUGGCGAUCUUGAGUAUGGAAGAGGUAUGUGGAACUCCGAGUGUAGAGGUGAAAUUCGUAGAUAUUCGGAAGAACACCAGUGGCGAAGGCGACAUACUGGUCCAUUACUGACGCUGAGGCUCGAAAGCGUGGGGAGCAAACAGGAUUAGAUACCCCUGUAGUCCCUGUCUCUUAUAA
RNAcentral lists this ribosomal RNA (301 nucleotides) under uncultured bacterium. RNAcentral describes it as "partial 16S ribosomal RNA". It matches the Rfam family "Bacterial small subunit ribosomal RNA", at positions 509 to 809 of the family's 1533-position model. The record is from RNAcentral.